Rana temporaria (common frog) is the source of this 386-nucleotide long non-coding RNA. RefSeq lists it as uncharacterized. The record is from RefSeq and is a predicted model, not a curated record. The transcript has 3 exons. Lineage: Eukaryota; Metazoa; Chordata; Amphibia; Anura; Ranidae.
UAAUCCUAUAUAAUAUCCUUGGAUUGCCUUAUCAUAUGCUAUUACCUAUCUUGCCCAGCCCAGCACUGUGAGCUUUGAAUUACCGCAUGCUUUAGAUCCCUGGAUCCGAGAUUUUAGUGCCUACCAGCACCUGACUGUCCGAACACCUGUAUGCUUACAAUUCAGUGUUUUUGAUUAUUUCCCCACGCUUGGCUGGCUUGAUAUAUUCUGUCCGUCCAGCCACUGUGGGGUUAACACGCUACUGUCGCUUGUCUACCCCCAAUGCGACCUAUUUUUUAGAUGCAAUAUCUUAUGCUCCUGAGGAAGCGCUAAGCGCGUAACAUGUAGAGCAAGCUCUUCACCAAACCUUUGGAAUACUACACUGGAUAACAUUGUACCUGUAACUG